UGUUGUUCUUCCCCAAAAUUGUAUUAAAUCAAAACUAACCCACAGUUCUAAACUCACUCAAGCGUGGAUUUAUUAAUAAACUAUCUGCCACUUUUGUUGACCAAGGUUUGUUUAAUAAACCCAAUCGCUGGUUCCACACAGAUCAGUGUUGUUAUUGAAUCGCACUUCUAUCGUUGCUGUUCUUGUUGCAACUCCGGUGACGUAUAUCGAUUCCGGCGAGCAAGUUUCCAAUCGCAGGUGUCAAACAAAGCCCCUCAAUCGACAGCCCCUUGUUCGCAGGUUUGUUGAUCUUCGCUCUUUACGUCGCUCGGCGGUAAUCACCUCUAAUCAUAGGUAAUCACCUCGGUUCACAAGUACCAAUCAACCACUUGUUCGCAGGUUGAUUGAAUACUGGUCCAAAUUUCGAUCUCUGGUAUCAACUUCCUCUUGCUCGCAGUUAAUUGAUUUACACAGUGGGAGGCAUGGUGAUCUGUGUUGGGCUUGGUGGAUUGACUGCUUAUGCUGGGUUCUUUGAAAUUUGUAAGCCAAACAAGAGUGAAAAGGUCUUUGUCCCAGCUACUUCUGGAUCGUAGGAAAUUUGAUGAGUCAAUAUGCUAAGCAUUUUGGGUGCUAUGUUGUGGGUUGUGCCAGAAGCCCAAAUAAGGUUUACCAUGUU
RNAcentral lists this long non-coding RNA (655 nucleotides) under Helianthus annuus (common sunflower). RNAcentral's name for it is "sRNA HanXRQr2_Chr09g0367101". Lineage: Eukaryota; Viridiplantae; Streptophyta; Magnoliopsida; Asterales; Asteraceae. The record is from RNAcentral.